Non-coding RNA from Equus caballus (horse), 5951 nucleotides. The record is from RefSeq and is a predicted model, not a curated record. NCBI's taxonomy places the organism in Eukaryota, Metazoa, Chordata, Mammalia, Perissodactyla, Equidae.
ACUAGGGAUGAUGUCCCAGACCAGGCGCCUCGGCCUCGACCCGAGCGCCAGCCCCGCCUCUCCCCAGGUUCUGGCCGCUCCCGCCUGGGGUGGGAAGCAGGGUCUGUUCUGCAAAAGACAAAGACCACCUUCUGCAUCUAGCUCUCCCUCAAGGUGCGGCCACUGGGGAUCCCGCGGGGACAAAACCAGCCGUGGCGCCGGGGAGACUCAGUAACGUAACGCAAAAAGGACCCACAGGCUGGUGCACCUCUCUGCAUCUUCGAGUUGGGCCCUGUGUUCAUCACCUGAAGGACUUGGGACUCCUGUGUGUUCAGCCCCAGGCUCAGGAGGAGCCAGUGUUUGCACCAUUUCCUCUUUGAAGCUCAACUGCAGCAGAGGCGAGGCUGCGGCAGGGGAAGCCCUUGCCAUUCCUCCUUUCCAUUUUCUCACACAGCCCCUAAGAGACACAUGUACCUACUAAGACAAAGUGUAUUUCUCAAGUUCAUGUGCUUUGGAAGUUCACAAUUUGGGGGGAAUGCCAAAGUGGGGGGUAUACACUGGGUUUUCCCUCCUGAUGGUUUUCAGCCCUGCACCUUGGGUCUGGGAGAGAGGCCCAGUAAUUACUAUGGGUCUCCCUUCCGCAAAAGGUGGGAGAGUGGGGCAGAUCCUCAACACUUGCCCCUACGGCUAUGACACAUAUCUCGAGUGGACAACCUCACCCUGGCUAGAUUCUGUCCGCUGUGUCUGUAUUUCUAGCCAGCGAUAGUAGCAUGGAAGAUCAUUCCUCUCCCCAGACCCCUCCAUCUAGAUGGACAUUAGGUUAAAUGAUGGAUGAGGUGAGAAAAUGGCAGAUGCUUUACUGCACGCACAGCAGGGUUAAAGACACAAUCUAGACAGGUCAACACUACUAAAAAUUCAAACAUAGGAAGACUUCUGCUUCCAGCCAUGAUGAAGUAACAGGACUGGAUUUACCCUCCUCCCUUAAACUAAAAAACUGGACAAAACAGAUGAAACAAGAGUUGUCACCCUGGACCACAGGCGGUGCAGGACAGGGAGCCCUGAGAGCAGGGAAGCAGGUGAGGUGAGCCUUCUGCCUGCAGCUUCCAGACCACAGCGUAGGUAGGGAACCAGAGGGCAGGGUCUCCCAGGGUCGAGGAGACAGAGCUGGGAGCCCAGAGCAGCCACAGCAGCCGGAGUUGGCAGGGCUGCAGAGAACUGGAGGAGGAGCUGCACAGAGAAGAGCUGCAGAGCGUCCCCGUGAGUCGCAGCACACUCACCAGGACACCAGCGGGGGCGGGGAGAAGAGCCACCAGAAAGGAGCAGGCUGGAGCAACCCCUAAGAGUUCACACAGGGCCAGGAAUAGCUCCAGUUCCCACCACCUGUAGUGGAGAAACUUUGAGCUAAGCUGAUGUCAGAGAGAUCAGUAGAAGGGUGCUGCCUCUGGAGUUGGGAAAAGUUAUGAAGGCUGCCCAACAAAGCGGAAAAGCGACAACUGACAAGAUCAAAUGAUUUCCAAGUAACUACUACAUCUCAGGACAAAAGACAACUAACACAACUUCAAGUGGCCUAAUAUAUGUGUAAUUGGAGUCCUGGCACACAGAAACAUGUGAACGACUGUGUAAAAACUGUUCUAUAACCUAUAAAGAAUAUUAUUAAACUCCAAGCAUAGGAAUCAUGAAGAAAAAAAGACCAAGACACCUCAUAAUCAAAUUGCUCAAAACCAGUAAGAAAGAGGAAAUCUUAAAGGCUGCCAGAGAAAAAGAUACAUUAUGUAGAGAGGAACAAAGAUAAAGGUGACAGGAGUGUUCUCAUGGAAACAACGCAAACCAGACAACGAUGGAGCAACAUCUUUAAGCACGGAAAGAAAAAACCAAUCACAUGUUCGGUAGACACUUUUUCAAUAAUUUGCUGAUUCACAGGGGAAGAUCUUGCUGGUGUCCUCACCACCAGGCUGGCAAUUUAGAGGUUAAACUUGAGGCAUGAUGGCUGAUGAAUUAGAGGUUCCCAAGAUACCAUGUCUAUAAGCAGUAGCAACUCGGGUCUGCAGUUUGUUUGCAUAGGACAAUUGUGGGAUAAACACUGAACAGAAGCAGCAGUCCCUCAGGGGCACUCAGCUUCACGAGCUUCAGCUCAGUCCCCACGGGGCACUGCCAUCCCAGCCCAAACACUCGGUACCUGGCAGUGGCUGAGGACAACAACAACCGGCUGCACAUCUUCCUAGUUCCCAAAAUGCCCUCUCCAAAGUCAAACAAAGACAAGAAGCAGAAAGUAAAUUCUACAUAAAACUAUGCCGUCAGCAUCACUUGGAGAAUUUUAUGACUGCAAAUUAAGGGAGUCAAAGAGGAAAAUCACCGGAGUCCAGCACGUGAUCUCUUCCCUUCACCCCACCCGCAGCCAGCCCAUCUGAGCGGUGAGCAAAGGAGGACUGGGAGAGACGGUGGGGCUGAAGACGGGGGCUGCGAGGCGGCCUAAGGGUGAGGUGGCACAGUACCAGAAGGGUUAAACCUUAACAUCCUAGAUAUGGAAAUAAUUCUAAACCCUCCCAAUGCUAUGAAAAUUAAUGACAGUCGAGUCUAUCCAGAGCUAGUGCACAACACCAGAUGAGAUGAGAUGUCACACGUAUGAACUGAAGACCCUCCCUGCUCUGUGAGACUCUGGCACAAGUGUCUAACACAACCACAUGGAGGGGAUCGAGGAUAAAAGGCGUAACCUGCGUAAGUUUAGAAACUAAUAUUCCGACUGCACACUCUAAGGCUGAAGACGAGAAGAACCGGCCACCACUGCUGUCCUCUGGUUAGUAAAUCCGUCUCUCUCCGGGGUAUGGGUUACAAUGCUGUGAUGACCCUACGUGCACACGAGGAUACAACAAACACAUGGAGGUGUGUCUGAAGGCAGGGAUUAACAGACACAUAUUUCCCAGCUCUGUCUGCUCCAGCUCCAACAACAAUGAGCAUAUCUGCUGACCAGACCUUGGUUUCCAAAUAGUACUUUCCAAUAAAAGGAAUCAGAGCUUGUUGGAGAAGUGCUUGAUUCCAGGGCUGGGCAGGGAAUCUACGAGAUGAGGCUAAAAUAUCCUGUGGUGCCAGAAAAUAAGUACUUGAAAAAGGAUGGCAAUUUUCAAAGAUACAGAACCCAACCUGCACAAGCUCCUAAUGGCUAACGCUGGAAUAAUGCAAGUGACAAAAUAAGCAAUGACAGUCUUGUUAUUAUAACUCACAGAACAAGAUAAACAUCAACGAGUCUAUGCUGAUAUAAAUAAUUGAAUACAUAAACCAGGGGGAAGAGACAGCUUUUCCUAACAGGAAACUUCUAAGUAGUCAUUGUAGAAGGAAUGAAGAGAUAUACAAAAUCAUCAUUAGAAAAACACCACAAGAAAAGCAGUUUCAGGCAAGAUUUCUGAUGGAUGCUAAAACCAGUGAGCAAAAGUUUUAAGACAAACAGAUACUGCAUACUUAUCCAAGAUCUCCCUCAAUUACAAGGGAAAAACAGUAAGUUUACAUUACAGUGGUGAAACCCGGCAGAGGUCACGGUAACCAAGCGAUGAAGGAGAACAUCGCCUGUAAGGCAUGUAUGUGCCCCCCACACAGUGUACUGAGGACAUAGUGUACUGAGGGCACAGUGUACCGAGGGCACAGUGCACCGAGGGCGCAGUGCACCGAGGGCGCAGUGUACCGAGGGCACAGUGUACUGAGGGCACAGUGUACUGAGGACCCAGCACUUCUGUGGCGCUCAUCCAAACCGCAUAUCGUCAACAUAAUCAGGAGAAAACAGCUGAUACACUGAAAUCAAAAGGUAUUCUACAGAACAGCUAAUCAGUACUCAUCAAAAAUGUCAAGGUCAUGAAAGACAAGAAAAUAGAAGCUGUCACAGACUGGAGAGGAUGAAGAAAACAGUAACUAAAUGCAGUGUGGGCACUGGACUGGAUCCUAGAACACAAGAAGAACGCUGGGGGAAACUGGUGAAAUCUGAGUAAGAUCUGUGAUUAGGAGGACUGCACCCAUGUUAAUUUCCUGGCUUUGAUAAUUUUACUAUGGUUACGUAAAUUGUUAACAUUAGGGGAAGCUGAAUGUAGAGCAUAUAUCAACUCUCUAUUUUUGCAACUUUUCUGCAAGUCUAAAAUUCUUGCUAAAUAAAAAACAGCUGUAUACCAAAUAAUCUGAACACUGCCGCCCGUGUGCCUAUUUCCCAGAAGUUCUUAGUGAACACUGUAACCACUCCUAAUUAUUCAGGAUAGUGUGUAUGUGCGUGUGUGUGUGUGUAUGUGUCUGUACCAGAGAAUCAGAGAGAGAGGGAGAGAGAAGGCAGAAGCCUCUUGAUCCGGCUAUACCUGAAGUCAUUUCUGCAGCUGUCAAUUAUGUAAGUUAAUGUUCCCUUUUUUGUGCUUUGGCUAGUUUGAGUUGUGCUUCUAUUGUUUGUAAUCAAGUGUCCCUAACAUACUAAUUUCUGGCCUACUUCAUCCUAAGGAAUAUUGAGGCAGUUAUAGACAUUCACAGAAGAGAAAAACAAAUCAAAACAGUAGAAUGAAAGUAGAACAGCAGGACACUCCAACAAGUCCGGGCGCAGUCACUGCACAGAGACGCAUCCCUGCACACUGCCUGACGACAGCGCUGGCAGCAGCUGCGAACCCUGACUGAACGCUCCCAGCUCCCAACAAGUCCUCAGAUACUCCAGGAUCAUUGACUGACUCCAGCUCAGCUGAUUUAGCAACCGUACUAGCUUCUGCAACCUUAAUUCCCUUUGCCACGUGACCCACUCACAGGUUUGGGGCAUGAGGACAGGACGGUUUGGAGGGCCAUUAUUCUGCCAAUCCCAAGAGCUAACACUCAUUAAACAUUUUACUACGUGCCAGGAAGACACUUGAUAAUAAAUAUAAUUAUCAAUAGUGAAAAAGCAGCAAAGUCAAUCCAUCCAAACACUGGUUGGAUAACCAUUUCUUUAAAAAGAAACUAACCUGUUGUGUUGAGCUUCUCAGUUAUGCGUUCUCUCCUUUGACUAGAACUAACAUGGGCACUGGCAGAGCCAAUGGGAAUUUUUAGUCUCACAUUUUUUGUGACAGUCUCAGAGUUUUCACAACAUUCUAGGUCUCUGGUUAUUGCCAAACAUAAUCACCUGUAUAUCAUAGUUGGUAUAGCUAAAGUGCUCCUUAGUGUCUCAAUAAUACUGUAUGAAAGAAAAAUAAUUUUGAGCAAUAAUCUAUUAUCUGAAACUUUGCUAGUUGAAGAUAUUUGGAAACUUGGAAUAAUUUGACUAGUACUUUAAGAUUCUACAAGAAUUUUAUAUAAUUAACUAAUGUCAAAUUAGAGACUUUAGGGACUAAGAUAAAUACUGAUUUUUCACUUGCAGUUCCAAAAGAUUCAUGAAUUACUCCAGCUUGUAUAUUUGCCUCGGGAAGCUUAAUGACAGCAAUGAAUUUACUGGUCAUGGCUGGAAGCCUUUUGAUCUACAAGAGUUGCCUGAUUUUUACCUUCAGUUUUUGGAGAGGACAUCUUUAUUUCAAAAUAGUUGAAAGUUAUCAUUUCAAAUGAUCCUUUCUAUAUUUUCCCCAAGGAAUGCAGUAAUUUCGUCUCUAUGUAUUCUAAAAGCGAAUUCUACUUCAUCAAAUCCUUUUAGAAACAAAGGACCAGAAGUAUGGUUCUUAUUGCUGCUAGCAUGUUGAAAAUAAUGUCUAGUCCAUGUUUUAACUUUAUUCAAUGCUAACUCUGACUGUAGCCUUUUAAUAUAAAUAACCAUAUGAUUUAGCAUAUAGGAAAAAAUCUCCCUAAUUCUAGGAUUCUACUAACUCAAUGUAUGGCCGAAACCAAUGAUUCUCAAGUUUCAUUUAAUAGAGUUCUUUUAAAUUAUUUUUUUACAUUCUGGAACCCAAUUCCUGGUAGACAUUUGGGAUGGAUCUGGUAAUAAUUGGAGACAAAUUAAUAUGUAAAAUAAAACCAAAAAGCCUAUAAAAGAGGAAAAUUCUGAAAUCCAGCAGUUU